GACGAACGCUGGCGGCGUGCCUAAUACAUGCAAGUCGAACGCAUUUUCUUUCACCGUAGCUUGCUACACCGAAAGAAAAUGAGUGGCGAACGGGCGAGUAACACGUGGGUAACCUGCCCAUCAGCGGGGGAUAACACUUGGAAACAGGUGCUAAUACCGCAUAAUUCCAUUUACCGCAUGGUAGAUGGAUGAAAGGCGCUUUUGCGUCACUGAUGGAUGGACCCGCGGUGCAUUAGCUAGUUGGUGGGGUAACGGCCUACCAAGGCUGCGAUGCAUAGCCGACCUGAGAGGGUGAUCGGCCACACUGGGACUGAGACACGGCCCAGACUCCUACGGGAGGCAGCAGUAGGGAAUCUUCGGCAAUGGACGCAAGUCUGACCGAGCAACGCCGCGUGAGUGAAGAAGGUUUUCGGAUCGUAAAACUCUGUUGUUAGAGAAGAACAAGGAUGAGAGUGGAAAGUUCAUCCCUUGACGGUAUCUAACCAGAAAGCCACGGCUAACUACGU
Molecule: ribosomal RNA, 506 nt
Filed under: uncultured bacterium
Lineage: Bacteria
Description: partial 16S ribosomal RNA
Rfam family: Bacterial small subunit ribosomal RNA
Source: RNAcentral